This 254-nucleotide long non-coding RNA is filed under the name Mytilus galloprovincialis (Mediterranean mussel). The record is from RNAcentral. Lineage: Eukaryota; Metazoa; Mollusca; Bivalvia; Mytilida; Mytilidae.
AUUGCAGCCAACUAUAUCUUACUUUCAAAUGUUUCUUUUCCAUGUUAAUUUUCCUAAACACACAAUUACGUGUCAUUAAUAUCAAAUGUUAAACGUCCUGAUUAAUUUGAUCGCACAAAGAUAUAACAUAUAUCUGAACAAUUGUUGCACUCAGAUGGAUGCAAACUGAAUAGUUUAUCAUCCCAAUUAUAUUAAUAGAUCAUAAUAAAAACCGACUGAAAUAUGUUUAUUAUUUGCACUUCUUUAUAAACAGG